ACUCAAAUGAAUUGACGGGGGCCCGCACAAGCGGUGGAGCAUGUGGUUCAAUUCGACGCAACGCGAAGAACCUUACCUGGGCUCGAACGGCUCACGAUCAACUGUGGAAACACGGUUUUCCCGCAAGGGACGGGAGUCGAGGUGCUGCAUGGCUGUCGUCAGCUCGUGUCGUGAGAUGUUGGGUUAAGUCCCGCAACGAGCGCAACCCUCGUCCUGUGUUGCUAACCGAAAGGUGCACUCUCAGGAGACCGCCGGCGAUAAGCUGGAGGAAGGUGGGGAUGACGUCAAGUCAUCAUGGCCUUUAUGUCCAGGGCUACACACGUGCUACAAUGGACGGUACAAACCGCCGCAAACCCGCGAGGGGGAGCAAAUCGGAGAAAACCGUUCUCAGUUCGGAUCGCAGGCUGCAACUCGCCUGCGUGAAGCUGGAAUCGCUAGUAAUGGCGUAUCAGAACGACGCCGUGAAUACGUUCCCGGGCCUUGUACACACCGCCCGU
RNAcentral lists this ribosomal RNA (497 nucleotides) under uncultured bacterium. Its description in RNAcentral is "partial 16S ribosomal RNA". It matches the Rfam family "Bacterial small subunit ribosomal RNA", at positions 899 to 1397 of the family's 1533-position model. The record is from RNAcentral.